GGGGUUGUGGCUCAGUGGUAGAACACUCACCUCGCAUGUGGGAGAGCCUAAGUUCUAUCCUUAGCGCCACA
Molecule: transfer RNA, 71 nt
Filed under: Marmota monax (woodchuck)
Lineage: Eukaryota; Metazoa; Chordata; Mammalia; Rodentia; Sciuridae
Description: tRNA.Ala
Rfam family: tRNA
About the family: Transfer RNA (tRNA) molecules are approximately 80 nucleotides in length. Their secondary structure includes four short double-helical elements and three loops (D, anti-codon, and T loops). Further hydrogen bonds mediate the characteristic L-shaped molecular structure. tRNAs have two regions of fundamental functional importance: the anti-codon, which is responsible for specific mRNA codon recognition, and the 3' end, to which the tRNAs corresponding amino acid is attached (by aminoacyl-tRNA synthetases). tRNAs cope with the degeneracy of the genetic code in two manners: having more than one tRNA (with a specific anti-codon) for a particular amino acid; and 'wobble' base-pairing, i.e. permitting non-standard base-pairing at the 3rd anti-codon position.
Source: RNAcentral